Molecule: long non-coding RNA, 441 nt
Organism: Cyprinus carpio (common carp)
Lineage: Eukaryota; Metazoa; Chordata; Actinopteri; Cypriniformes; Cyprinidae
Exons: 3
Source: RefSeq, a predicted model, not a curated record
UCAGACUUCACACCUGUAAUUUUUCUAAAUUGACAUUUUUUUUUCUGAUUUAGGAAAAUCAUGAUAAUGAAUUUAAAUAAUCCACUGAAUGAAUAAGGUUUUUUAUGUUGUGUUUUUAUAAUGGUGUUGUAAUCACCAACAACACCAUUGAGUUAAGAAAGCCUGUAGGCUUUUCUUAAUUUUUUUAGUGGAACACAUGGAUACAUUUUGAAGAACCAUUUGUGUGAGGAACCAACCAAAAUAACUGUAAUGCACUGAACUUUCCCGUUUCAUGGAAAAAUAGCAACAUACGAUUUCGGAAUGAAGGUCACUGAAACUGACACGAAGACUGGUGCAAAAGGAUCUUCAAGAAAUAAUCUGCCCAAAAAUAAAAAUUCUAACAUAAUUUACUCACCUUCAUGUCACUUCAAACCCGUGUGACUUUCUUUCCUCUAUGGGACA